This 497-nucleotide ribosomal RNA is filed under the name uncultured bacterium. Its description in RNAcentral is "partial 16S ribosomal RNA". It matches the Rfam family "Bacterial small subunit ribosomal RNA", at positions 28 to 507 of the family's 1533-position model. The record is from RNAcentral.
GAUGAACGCUGGCGGCGUGCCUAAUACAUGCAAGUCGAGCGAACAGAUGAGGAGCUUGCUCCUCUGACGUUAGCGGCGGACGGGUGAGUAACACGUGGAUAACCUACCUAUAAGACUGGGAUAACUUCGGGAAACCGGAGCUAAUACCGGAUAAUAUAUUGAACCGCAUGGUUCAAUAGUUAAAUACGGUUUUGCUGUCACUUAUAGAUGGAUCCGCGCCGGAUUAGCUAGUUGGUAAGGUAACGGCUUACCAAGGCAACGAUGCGUAGCCGACCUGAGAGGGUGAUCGGCCACACUGGAACUGAGACACGGUCCAGACUCCUACGGGAGGCAGCAGUAGGGAAUCUUCCGCAAAGGGCGAAAGCCUGACGGAGCAACGCCGCGUGAGUGAUGAAGGUCUUCGGAUCGUAAAACUCUGUUAUUAGGGAAGAAAAAAUGUGUAAGUAAAUAUGCACGUCUUGACGGUACCUAAUCAGAAAGCAACGGCUAACUACGUG